CAAUAGCGUAUAUUAAAGUUGUUGCAGUUAAAAAGCUCGUAGUUGGAUUUCUGGUCGGAAGCUCCUGUCCUCUGAUGAGCGUACAAGCGCGUCCUACCAUCCUUCUGUUAACCUUUAAGGCUUUCGCGGCUUUCUAGGGGCUCAGAUAUUUUACCUUGAGAAAGUUAGAGUGUUUCAGGCAGGCUAGCGCCGGAAUACAUUAGCAUGGAAUAAUGGAAUAGGACUUUUGCCUCUUCUGUUGGUCAUGAGGCUCGAGUAAUGAUUAAUAGGGAUAGUUGGGGGCAUUAGUACUUAACUGUCAGAGGUGAAAUUCUCGGAUUUGUUAAAGACUAACUUAUGCGAAAGCAUUUGCCAAGGGUGUUUNCAUCAA
This 370-nucleotide ribosomal RNA is filed under the name uncultured eukaryote. Its description in RNAcentral is "partial 18S ribosomal RNA". It matches the Rfam family "Eukaryotic small subunit ribosomal RNA", at positions 592 to 976 of the family's 1831-position model. The record is from RNAcentral.